UGGAUAGAUUAUUGUAUUCGACUGUAUUCACGACGUGAAAUAGGGGAUUACACUGUUUUUAAAACGGAAAGUGAAUCAAUUAACAUAAUAGACUCCU
This 97-nucleotide microRNA precursor is filed under the name Nicotiana sylvestris (wood tobacco). RNAcentral's name for it is "MIR6152 microRNA precursor family". It matches the Rfam family "MIR6152 microRNA precursor family". RNAcentral also lists the same sequence under 1 other name. The record is from Rfam by way of RNAcentral. Lineage: Eukaryota; Viridiplantae; Streptophyta; Magnoliopsida; Solanales; Solanaceae.